RNAcentral lists this transfer RNA (65 nucleotides) under Decemunciger sp. AB-2017. RNAcentral's name for it is "tRNA-Glu". Lineage: Eukaryota; Metazoa; Annelida; Polychaeta; Terebellida; Ampharetidae. The record is from RNAcentral.
AUAUAAUUAGUAUAAACAUUACACUGGUUUUUCAGGCCAAAAAUUUGGUGCCACCAAAUUAUAUA